Molecule: ribosomal RNA, 663 nt
Filed under: Triticum aestivum (bread wheat)
Lineage: Eukaryota; Viridiplantae; Streptophyta; Magnoliopsida; Poales; Poaceae
Description: partial small subunit ribosomal RNA
Source: RNAcentral
AUGGUGGCCAUUCGUGUGCUGCUCCUUGCAGGAGCUCUCUUGGCCUUUGCAUGCUCGCAGCAUGGCGUCGCCGCCUCCGACCCCAGCCUUCUCCAGGACUUCUGCGUUGCGGACAAGACGUCUCAAGUGCGUGUCAAUGGACUGCCUUGCAAAGACGCGAAGGAUGUCGUCGCGGAGGACUUCUUCUUCUCCGGCCUCCAUCUGGCCGGCAACACGGCCAACAAGCAGGGCUCCGCGGUGACCGCCGUCAACGUCGCGCAGAUCGGUGGGCUGAACACCAUGGGCGUCUCCCUCGUCCGCAUCGAUUAUGCGCCGAACGGCCUCAACCCUCCUCACACCCACCCGCGCUCCACCGAGAUCUUGACCGUGCUAGAGGGCUGCCUCCACGUCGGCUUCGUCACCUCGAACCCUGAGAACAGACACUUCAACAAGGUUAUGGCCAAGGGAGACGUGUUUGUGUUCCCCAAGGGCCUCGUCCAUUACCAGUUAAAUAAUGGGAAUACUCAUGCGGUGGCCAUCGCGGCACUGAGCAGCCAGAACUCCGGAGUGAUCACGGUAGCCAACGCGGUGUUUGGAUCGGAGCCUGCCAUCUCUGAUGAUGUUAUUGCCAAGGCAUUCCAGGUGGAGAAGAACACAGUCGAUUGGAUCCAAGCACAGUUCUAA